UACAUAAAGUUUUUGUUAUUGACCUAAAAUAAUGGCUUUUACUUUGGAUAUUCCAGCCUUGUACCAAAAUAAAAGCAAAGCAUUUGGAAUUAAAAGUAUCUUUAUUUACCUUAUUACAAACAGAAAUGAUGAGUCUUGUUUAAUUUGGUCAUUUGGUGCUUUUUUGACCUUUGUUUCUAACCAACAUUAAGCAUGACUGUUUUUAGUUU
Molecule: long non-coding RNA, 209 nt
Filed under: Trifolium pratense (red clover)
Lineage: Eukaryota; Viridiplantae; Streptophyta; Magnoliopsida; Fabales; Fabaceae
Description: long non-coding RNA (TPRA_LNC008012)
Source: RNAcentral